Molecule: ribosomal RNA, 253 nt
Filed under: uncultured bacterium
Lineage: Bacteria
Description: partial 16S ribosomal RNA
Rfam family: Bacterial small subunit ribosomal RNA
Source: RNAcentral
UACAGAGGGGGCGAGCGUUGUUCGGAAUUACUGGGCGUAAAGGGCGCGUAGGCGGCCCGCUAAGUCGAACGUGAAAUCCCCAGGCUCAACCUGGGAACUGCGUCCGAUACUGGCAGGCUUGAAUCCGGGAGAGGGAUGUGGAAUUCCAGGUGUAGCGGUGAAAUGCGUAGAGAUCCGGAGGAACACCAGAGGCGAAGGCGGCAACCUGGCACGUUACUGACGCUCAUACACGACAGCAUGGGGAGCGAACGGG